GGUCCCGUAGCUCAGCAGGAUAGAGCGUCGGUUUCCUAAACCGCAGGUCGUUGGUUCGAAUCCAAUCGGGAUCACCA
Molecule: transfer RNA, 77 nt
Filed under: Bacillota bacterium
Lineage: Bacteria; Bacillati; Bacillota
Also listed under: 1 other name
Description: tRNA-Arg
Rfam family: tRNA
About the family: Transfer RNA (tRNA) molecules are approximately 80 nucleotides in length. Their secondary structure includes four short double-helical elements and three loops (D, anti-codon, and T loops). Further hydrogen bonds mediate the characteristic L-shaped molecular structure. tRNAs have two regions of fundamental functional importance: the anti-codon, which is responsible for specific mRNA codon recognition, and the 3' end, to which the tRNAs corresponding amino acid is attached (by aminoacyl-tRNA synthetases). tRNAs cope with the degeneracy of the genetic code in two manners: having more than one tRNA (with a specific anti-codon) for a particular amino acid; and 'wobble' base-pairing, i.e. permitting non-standard base-pairing at the 3rd anti-codon position.
Source: RNAcentral